AGUGGGGAAUCUUAGACAAUGGGGGCAACCCUGAUCUAGCCAUGCCGCGUGAGUGAUGAAGGCCUUAGGGUUGUAAAGCUCUUUCAGCUGGGAAGAUAAUGACGGUACCAGCAGAAGAAGCCCCGGCUAACUCCGUGCCAGCAGCCGCGGUAAUACGGAGGGGGCUAGCGUUGUUCGGAAUUACUGGGCGUAAAGCGCACGUAGGCGGACUGGAAAGUCAGAGGUGAAAUCCCAGGGCUCAACCUUGGAACUGCCUUUGAAACUAUCAGUCUGGAGUUCGAGAGAGGUGAGUGGAAUUCCGAGUGUAGAGGUGAAAUUCGUAGAUAUUCGGAGGAACACCAGUGGCGAAGGCGGCUCACUGGCUCGAUACUGACGCUGAGGUGCGAAAGCGUGGGGAGCAAA
This 402-nucleotide ribosomal RNA is filed under the name uncultured Paracoccus sp. RNAcentral describes it as "bacterial SSU rRNA". It matches the Rfam family "Bacterial small subunit ribosomal RNA", at positions 353 to 772 of the family's 1533-position model. Lineage: Bacteria; Pseudomonadati; Pseudomonadota; Alphaproteobacteria; Rhodobacterales; Paracoccaceae. The record is from RNAcentral.